This 543-nucleotide long non-coding RNA is filed under the name Phoenix dactylifera (date palm). Its description in RNAcentral is "long non-coding RNA (PDAC_LNC011461)". The record is from RNAcentral. Lineage: Eukaryota; Viridiplantae; Streptophyta; Magnoliopsida; Arecales; Arecaceae.
UGAGUCGGUGGGAUGUAUAACAUUUCACAUGUAGCAAGGAAUAUAUUCCAAUUGGUAUCUGUAAAUCAUUUGAACCUGCAAUUUUCCUAAGGUAUAAUUUACUAUUACCUUUUUGUUUUAUAAAUGGUUUUGCUCCCAUUAUGUUUCUUAAUGGAACCAGCGCAGCGUGGCUUUUUACAUUUGCUGCAUGACCAAUUCAUGAUUUUUGGAUGCAAAGGUGUCACCUAAAUUAGCAUCUUAAGCAUCUAGCUCUGCUCAUAGAAGCUCUCUAUAGACGACCUAUGAUUUGUAUAAGAUGGGCAUGGAUGUAAGUUGAUGAUUUGCGUUGAAAAGGUGCCAAUUGUUUGGCACAUCAAUUUCGGAGGCAGAGUUGCGAGCUGCACGAUCAUUCUGGAGAACGAUUCGGCCACGAUUAUCGGAUGGAUCCAAAAAGAGCCGAGGGGUGAGAGCACGGACCACCCCCUGAUCUAGGUACAACCUCUGUUCAGGAGACGGGGAGCUGCCACAAACACUCCGCGAGUUGGUAUUUUUUGACUUUAUUGG